UAUCCCCCGCAUAUACUUUCGUCGUCUUGAUUUUAGGGUUCCUGCCCAGAGGGAUGAACUGCGAGAUCUUCCACCUGAGAGAACUGGACGUGGAGCCGUAUCAAAUCCGCGAGGUUUUGAGAUGCAUACUCCACACGGUCAUGUUUAACAGGGCAUUGGGCCUCGUCCGGCCGCACGACGUCGAUUCCGAGCUCUUCGAUCUAACUUAUGUACAAUGUGGCGACUUAACAUUUGAGAAGAAGAUGGAGGAAAAAAUCGACCAGCUCAUUGCUUGGGUGGAAAAACAUCCAAACAAGAAAAUCACAGUUUGCCUUUCCUUCUACGAAACCAGAAGCAAGCAGAAUGCGUGGUUUGGACACAAAAUGGAACGCUUGUAUUGGGAGCAAUGGUAUGUCACGCUCAACACCACCGUCCAGCAGUCACACUUAAGAAGCAAGCCUCACCACGACAAGCUUGGCGACGCUCUUGAUUUGAUGACCGAUGAAAGAUCGAAGCGUCAUGCGCUACUCGAGUCCGGAUUGAAAGAAGUGAUGCUCCAGAUCUUACAGCAAGUAAACGAGAAGAAGGAUCACGUACCACCCGUCACUAGCCAGGAUGUAGUCUCGUUCCCGUAUGAGAUAUCAAUACCAAGCUCGUCGGACUCCUCGUUUGGAAUGGAUAUGUUCAAACGGAUGCUGCAAACUGGGCCUCCCACAAUGCUUGGCUGAUGCUUUGCGCGCAACUUUCAGCAAAAAUUGGAUCAAAUCUCCAUGCCGCUUGUAAGUAUUUGAUAUCGCCGCUCACUUGUAAAAAAAGAAAGGAAGCCACACGCAAGACCACACACAACACAGCCAUACUUCGCUUUCGCGGUUAAAUGCCACUCCAGUUGCCGGGAAUCGAUCCGGCGACGUCGGGGCAUUUUAUAAGGCGUGGAUUUUGGGGAGCCCACUAUAUCCAUGAGUGCAUUGUUCCAGGCAAGAGUUGUAACGAGGAUCACAACAAAUGUUGAUAUUGUCACAGGGAUCACAACAAAUUCCAAGUUAAGUGUUAGUCGCCACCACGUUGUUGUUAAUUGGAAGUGUCUUAAGAAAGA
Selaginella moellendorffii is the source of this 1072-nucleotide RNA transcript. It is a transcript of the gene named autophagy-related protein 101, with no coding region annotated. The record is from RefSeq and is a predicted model, not a curated record. The transcript has 9 exons. Lineage: Eukaryota; Viridiplantae; Streptophyta; Lycopodiopsida; Selaginellales; Selaginellaceae.